UAACAUUUUACCUUUAGUAUAGAUUUGAUUUAUUUAACCAUUGCUAUACUUUUGAAUCUCCUAGGGUUAAAAGGGCACUUAUCUGAUAAGAAAACAAUUAUGUCAUUUCAACUUGAGUGACUUGGAGCUUCUGACUCCGUGUCCCGAGUUUCUCAUUGACUGGGGAACACCCUGGCCGGCCCACAGGGCUGGAUGCUUCCCAUGACACUGGAGCAGGGCUCAGGUCCCUGGCCUCCAGAUGGGUACUAUAAACCCACUCUACAUUCAAGAUCAAGUUACACAUCACCUCACCAAGAUUACAACAAAUUCUGCCACUCUUUCAGUUAACGUUUGCAUUUCUUUGACUUGCUUAAGGUAUUUGAAUGUAUUUUGCUCCUGGCCCUUUAUAGUCUUGCAAAAUAAUUUUGUCAUCUCUUUGAAUUUUAUCAUCUGAUUUUGGAGGAGAUAAACUUUCUCCCCACUAUUCCACUUCCCCAUAUUUUUCACUUUGGGAUAGCUCCCACUGCCACAGAUAUUCACAUGGCAUCCACAGCCCUGACUUCCACUUCUGCCCAGGAUGGAAUAACAGGGACUAAAUUGACCCUCCUGCCUGAAACACCUAAAAAAAACCAGACAAAAUAUGUGAGAGUGACUCUCAAGACUUUGGACAGCAGGUAACAAAGGGUAAUAAUCCCUGAAAGACAACAAAUGAAUGAGUUCUAUAAUUUUCUCAGCUUACUGCCUUGAGAAAAAUUAGGGAGGGGGAGCCCAGAAACUGUCCACCAGUCUCCUUGAGUUAAAGAGAUGGAAGUAGGAGUCUGGGGCAGCCAAGAUGGCUAGAACUUGCAGAAUAGAAAACAGGAGAGGAGAGAACUUAGAGAGAAUUCUAGAGGUCUGUGGAGGGUUCCUUUCAUUCUGUUGAGUACUGAUCACUGGGUGCAUGUGAGGAAACUACCUGAGACCUGGGAAAGGACCACCUGACAGGAUCAUAGGGAACAGUCACCAGAGAUCACACACAGUUGAGAAUAGUGCUUAGUCACAAUAGCCAGACCGGAAACCUCAUAACUUACAGGGUAUUGGUUAGAGUAACUAAAAAGGGUCUUCCCUUGGGAAUGAGGAAAUUGAACCCUGGACUAAAUGCUGUUCUGGUACAUAAAAGAAAGGCCUGAAAAGAUCAAUGUUUCCAAAUAACUGCAUCCCAGAACAAAGCUUAAAAAUAUUUAUAGGAAUACAAAAAUAUUCAGCACCCAACAAGAUAAAAUGCACAAUGUCUGGCAUCCAAUCAACAAUUCCCAGGCAUGAAAAAAUACAUAAUGAGGAGAAAGCUCAAUCGAUUGAAACUGACCAAGAUAUGACAGAGGUGAUAGAAUGAAUAAACAAAAAUUAAAACCAUUAUUGUAGCUAUAAUACCAUAUGUUCAAAAAGCUUGAGAAAAGAUCGAACAUAUUAAAUAGGGACAUGAAAGAUAUAUUUAAAAGACCUAAAUUGAACUACUAGAGGUGAAAACCAUAAUGUCCGAGCUGAAAAAUACACUGCAUGGAAUUAAUGGCAGACUAUGAAUUGCAGAAGAAAAGAUUAAUGAACUUGAGACAGUAAGGAAACUAUUCAAAAUGAAACGGAGUAAAAAGACUGAAAGAGAUGGACAGAGCAUCCAAGAACUAUGGGACAACUUCAAGUAGUCAAUUAUACAUGCAUUAGGUAUCUCAAAGGAGUGGAGAGAGGAAGGGACAGGAAAAAUCUUUAAGGAAAUUAUGGCUUAAAAAUAUCCAAAUUUGGGGGCUGGCCCCAUGGCUGAGUGGGUAAGUUUGAGCGCUCCGCUGCAGGCGGCCCAGUGUUUCAUUGGUUUGAAUCCUGAGCGCAGACAUGGCACUGCUCAUUAAACCACGCUGAGGCAGCAUCCCACAUGCCACAACUAGAAGGACCCACAACGAGGAAUAUACAACUAUGUACUGGGGGGCUUUGGGGAGAAAAAGGAAAACAAUAAAAUCUUAAAAAAAAAUCCAAAUUUUGGGGCCAGUUUGGUGGUUAAGUUCACAUGCUCCACUUUGGCAGCCUAGGGUUCAUGGGUUCAGAUCCCCGGUGUGGACCUAUGCACCGCUCAUCAAGUCAUGCUGUGGCAGCAUCCCGUAUGCAAAGUGGAGGAAGAUUGGCACAGACGUUGGCUCAGGGACCAUCUUCCUUAAGCAAAAAGAGGAAGAUUGGCAAUAGAUGGUAGCUCAGGGCCAAUCUUUCUCACCGAAAAAGAAAAACUUCCAAAUUUGAUAAAAACUAUGAAUCCACAGAAACUCUAUGAACCCAAGUGCAAGAAACAUGAAGAAAGCUAGAACAACGCAUUUUGUAAUCAAAUUGCUUAACACCUACAAUAAAGAUAAAAACAACUGGGCAACCAAGGGAAAAAUGGCAAAGGAACAAAGAUAAGAAUGAUAAUAGUUCUCAUUGGAAACAAUGUAAGUAAGAAGACAGUGGAGCAACAUCUUUAAAAUACUGAAAUAAAAAAAAAAAUGUGUUGACAUAGAAUUCUUUAUCCAAUGACAAUAUCCUUUAAAAACAGAUGUGAAAUAAAGACUUUAUCAGACCUAAAAAAAAAAAAAAUGAAAAAAUUCAUCACCAGCAGACCUGCACUAUAAGAAAUGUUAAAGGAAGUUCUUCAAGCAGCGAAAUGAUAGCAAAUGUAAUCCUGGAUCAGUGCAAAGGAAUAAAGACCACCAGAAAUCAUAACUAAGUGGGUAAAUUUAUAGACUUUUUUUAUUUAAAUUUCUUUAAAAGAUAGUAGGUUUUAAAGCAAAAAUAAUACAAAUGUAUUGUGGGUUUUAUAGUAUAUGUAGAAGUAAAAUGCAUGGCAGUAAUAGCACAAAGGACAGAAGGGGAGAAAUGGAAGUACAGGUUGUAGGGUUCUCAUACUGUGUGUGGAGAAGUAAACACUUGACAGUAACAAUGCAUACCAGAAGCCCUAAGGCAAUCAGUAUGGAGUCUAGUGAAUAAACAAUCAAAGGAGAUAACAUGAAUUAGAAGAAAUAAUCCAAAAGAAGGCAGAAAAAGGGGAAAGGGGGAACAAAGACAGAUGGGACAAAUAGAAAACAAAUAUCAACAUGGUAAACUGAAACUCCAGCAUAUCAAUAAUCACAUGAAAUGGAAAUAGUGUAAGCACCCAAAUUAAAAGGCAGCGAUUGUUAAGUUAGACAAAUAAGCAAAGCCCAAUUAUGUACUGCUUACAAGAAACUCACUUUAAAUAUAAAGAUUUUAUAGGGAGAGGUUGGUAAAAGGCUGUAAGAUGAAUAAGAUCUGAGGAUCUAAUGUAAAACAUGGUGAUUGUAGUUGAUAAUACUGUAUUAUGUAAUUAAAAUUUUCUAGGAGAGUAGAACUUAAUUGUUCUCACCACCCCCCUACCCUCUCAAAAAAGAAAAUUAUGUGAGGUGAUGGAUGUGUUAAUUAACUAAAUGGUGGGAAUCCUUUUACAAUAAAUAUAUAUAUAAAGAUACAAAUAGAUUUAUAGUAAAAGGAUGAAAAAGAUUAACUAUAGUAGCUAUAUUAAUGUCAAACAGUAGAUUUGAGAACAAUAAAUAUUACCAGGAAUUAAAGAGAGUCAUUUCAUAAUUAUAUAAGGAUCAGUUCAUCAAGAUGACAAUCCUAAACAUUUAUGCAUCUAAUAACAGAACUUCAAAAUAUAUGAAGCAAAAAUUGAUAGACCUGCAAGGAGGAAUAGAAAAGUUCACGAUUAUAGUGAAUGAUUUCAACAUCCCCCUCUCUCAAUAAUUGAUAGAACAAGUAGGCAGAAAACUGAUAAGGAUAGAGAAGACUUGAACAACAUUAUCAACCAAUAUGACCUAACUGAUACUUUAUAGAACUCUCCACCAACAACAGCACAAGACACAUUUUUGUCAAAUGUACACAGAAAAUUUACCAAGAUAGAACAUAUUCUGGGCCAUAAAGUAAGUCUCACUACAUUUAAAAGGACUUACGUCUUACCAAGUAUGUUCUCUUAGUGUGUGUUGGUUGGAUGGUGGUGAGCAUAGCUGCCAUCUUAAAUAUGUUCUCUGAAUAUAAUGGAAUUAAAUUAAAAAUCAAUAGAGGAAUGAUAUCUGGAAAUUCCCCAAACAUUUGGAAACUGUCUAACACACUUCUAAGUAACACUUGGGUUGAAGAAGAAAUAAAAAGAGAUAUUAGGAAAUAUUUUAAACUGAAUGAAAAUGAAAACAGGACUUCAAAAUGUGUGGGAUGCAGUUGAAGCAGUACUUAGGGGAAAAAUUAUAGCACUAAAAUGCCUUCAUUAGAAAAGAAGAAGUUCUCCAAUCAAUGACCUCAACUUUCUCCUUAAGAAGGCAGAAUAAGAGCCAGCCUGAUGGCCUAGCAGUUAAAGUUCAGUGUGCUUUGCUAAGGUGACCUGGGUUCAGUACCUGGGCAUGGAACCACACCACUAGUCUGUCAGUAGCCAUGCUGUGGUGGUGGCUCACAGAGAAGAACUAGAAGAACUUAGAACUAUACACAACUGUGUACUGGGGCUUUGGGGAGGAAAAAGGAAGAAAAAAGGAGAAAGACUGACAAUAGAUGUUAGCCUAGGGUGAAUCUUCCCCUGCAAAAAACAAAAACAAAAACAAAAAUUACACAAUAGGCAUUAGGCAGCCACUGAAGAUUAAAAAAAAAAAGGCAGUUUGAGCUGGCUGGUGGUGUAGUGGUUAAAUUUGCACACUCUGCUUCGGUGGCAUGGGGUUCACUGGUUUGGAUCCCAGGUGCCGACCUAUACACUGCUCAUCAAGCUGUGCUGUGGCAGUGUCCCACGUACAAAAUAGAGGACGAUUGGCACAGAUGUUAGCUCAGGGCCAAUCUUCCUCACCAAAAAAAAUAAAAAAGUAAACAUUAAAAGAAAAAACAGAAUAAGAAGAGCAAAUAAAACCAAAAAUGUAAGCAGAAAGGGGAAAUUAUAGAGACCAGAGAGGAAAUCAGUGAAAAAGAAAAUAUACUCAGGUACAGUAAAUAGAGAAAGUCAAAAGCUGGUUCUGUGAGAAGAUCAAGAAAAAUGAUAAACCCCUUGUUGGACCUAUCAGAGAAAAAAAAGAAAACACACAUGACCAAUAGUAUCAGGAAUGAGACGGGUACAUCACUAUGAGGAAGAUAGAGAGGGACUAUUAUGAACAACUUUAUGCCAGGACGUUUGACGACUUAGUUGAAAUGGACAAAUUUCUUAAAAGACACAAACUCCAAAGACAUUUUCACUCAAAAGAAGUGAAUACCUUGAAUAUUAAAUAAAUUGAAUUUGCCCGUGCCUGAACCAUAUUGGAAGUGUUCUGUAACAAUAUGCUGAUUUUCGCCAGGCUGGCCUUCUCUCCAGUUUUUCAAGUGAGUGUGUGUGCUUCAUGUGCUUUCACAUGUGCAUAUGCGAAAUUUUGCAUGUUUUCUGUAGUUAACAUAAUUCUCACGUUUUACCAAAAGGAAACUUCCUUUCCAUGAUGCCAAGUGCUUGAGGGGAAGGGUCUGUCCUUCUGAGCGGAGAGGCAGGCGGAAGGCUUCCAAGGACUGAGUAUUUGGAGAUAUAAAAACCUAAAUCGCCGGAUUCUCCUUCCUGUUUAAAAUGACCUGCUUCUCAGAUAUUUGCAGAUAAUCUGACAAAGGGGAAUAUGCCUGUGAGCCAUGUUCCAGAAGCUAAUACCUGGCGGGAUGUGUAUAACAAAUUACUUGCUUCGAGUGUUACAGCUGAGCUCAUGGAUGGCAUUCUUACUGGAUUAUUAAAGGCUUCUCAGGGUGUUUGGGAACGCCUCUGUUUCAAGUUUAAUUCCACAAGUCCCUGGUGAGCGCAUUCUGUGUGCCCCUAUCUAGUGCUGGAUGGAUUCCCCGGGCCUUGAUUCCAGGACCUCCCAGCAGGAGCUUUCAGUCCAAUGAAGGAAACAGGUCUAAUUAGAGAACCAAAGAGAGACAAGAUAGACCUUUAGCGUAUGACCCACAGGCGCGUGCAGAGGCAGGGCCACUGUGGGCUGGAGCUUGGGAAAGGGACCAAUCUUAAGCUAAGUGGAGUGAGAACAGGAUAUCAGAGGGCAAAUAUUGGGCUGGAUGGUCUAUUGGGCCAACAGAGGAUAACGUUCCCCGGGCUGUAAAAUGUUCAACAACUCCAGUAAAAUUGGUAUGGUUUAUAAACCAGGUGAAUAAAAGUUGGUGUCUCAGGGUUUAGGAUUUAAGGGACUAGGAAAGCCUGUGUGGCUCCAUCUGGAAAGAUCCUUUGGGAUCGCAGUACAGAGGGGACAUCAAGCCCUGUGGGGGAUGUGAGCACCCAGAACCCCUGCUCAUGUAUUUCUAGGCACUGCUUUCUCCAGGGAGGUGGAGAGAGGGGUGCAUUGGGCUUGAUCUGCAGCAUUGAGGCUGUCAGUUCUUCAGCUUUCCUCAAAGCGGGGAGGGAUCCCUCCAACUGUCAGGUUGUAGGGAAUGUUAGUGAGGCAAUAACUUAGGGACGCUGUGGGGAGAGGGUCCUGUUUUGAAGUCCUUCUAUGGCUGUGAGCUCGUUUGUAAGAACUGAGGACACCAGAAGGCAGGAAUGGGGUCUGAGGAACUUGACUUUCCGUCAGGAGAACUCGGCUAAGCAGACGGCAGUUAUGAGUCCCAUUCGGGGGCCGAGCUGGGGUCCAUGCCUUGGGUCUGAGGUCUGUGGGGUGUUCAGCUUUGAAUGAUUGUCAGAGCACAGCUGCUCCUACAGGGAGACUAAGCUCAGAGCACUGAGAGAGGUGGGGUGCCAGCAUUCCGGGCGGAUAUUGCUCUUGGUGUAAGUGCCCCAGCUGACAGUCCUCUGCCUGUUGGGGGUGAGGGGGGCAGGUUUAGAACCUUUCUUGGCUGAGAAAAUGAACCCUGAGGCUUACUGCCAUUUUCUUAUGAGGUUUCUCCCCUGCAUGUAACCCUCAGAGUGAACACGCUGUGGCAACUUCAAACAAAAAUCAGAUUAACCAAACCAGCCUCCUCUCCUGGGGAAAGGAAACUGCCCUUCAAAAGGUAGUGCUGGAAAAGAAAAGCACGAGAACGAUGGGCCCCUCUCUAUACUAGUCUGAUCAGAAAAAUCCAAACUUCGAGCAACAUUUUUCACUUUGCAAAAGAAUCACUGGCUUUACAAAACCUUUAACUAAGGCUCUCUGCUGCAUCUAAAAUGUCUUAAUUCCUGAUCGCAUUGGUGACACUUCUGAUUGGAAGAGGAGACAGAAAUUAGGGAGACUUUAAAUCAAAAGCCUGGGGUCCCUGCCCCCUUGAAUGUUGAUAGACAAGCAAUAAGUACAGUCACACAGCACAGGAUUCCGUUUACAAGAAUCCAGGCAAGUUAAAAAAAAAACAAAAAAAAAACAGCUAGAAAGUAAGGUGAACAACAUUUGCUGAGCUUCAGAGCCCACUCUGUGGUGGAAUCCUGGAAUCUCAGCCUUGGAAAGGACCCUUGACCCUGCGCCCUGCUGACUGUGUACUCUCUGAGGUUUCCUGGCAGAUUGUCACGGGGCCUCUGGGGCUAGAACAUGUUCUGGGGUGGGGAGGUCACUACCCCCAUGAAAUACUCUCGGAUGCUGUAAUUCUGGGCAAACUAUCCCUCCAGUGGCGAUGUUAUCUGUCCUCGCUUGGAGCUUCCUCUCGCGGCCUCUGGUUCCACCCUGUGGAGCCACACCAAACAAGUGCAUCCUCUCUGUCCACUUUCCAGCUUCUUGUGGCUGUUGUCACACUUUUCUUGCAUCUGCUCCUGUUCAGCCGAAAUACCCUCAUUCCUACUUUGUCCUCAUCAGACAAGGUUCCCAGGCCCUCACCUUUCUGGUCUGUCUCUUCCUGGCAAAGGCCAGUCUAUCCAUGUCUAGCACAAGUGUGGUACCAAGAAUGACGUUUUGGGGCAUUAGGACUUGAUGAGCAAUCCCACUUACAGCCGCAGUGGGGAGAAGAAACCUCACAGUAGUGACUUUUUCUUCUUUGUAGGACGGUGAGAGUAACUAACCAAAAAAACAGACCUACUCCUUCUGCCCAACUUUAGUUAUUCAUUGACUCUCUAAUGAUGGGGCCAGUUACUUCUCUGGAUCAUUCGGGGUUGUGAGGGGGAGAGUGGAUAAAGGAGCAUCAGAGAAGGGGGGUGGGGUUUGACCUGCCUCUUCCCAGCACAGAAAAUAGGAUCUCUUUCAUUUGCAGUCCUAGAAUGUAAGCACUGCAAGAUCCUUAGAGGUCGCUGCCAUCAACCUCCUGAUGUUCAUACGACAAAACUGAUACCCAGAGAGGUUAAGCCCCUGCCCAAGAUCAGACAGAGAUUUAAUGACAAGCCCUAAACCAGAGCCCAAAUCUCUAGCGUUCUUUCCAUUAAUUUCUGCUGCCUCGACCUCUGUCCUCGGCCUAUAUGCAGACUCUCCCUCUGUACCUCCCCCAUACCCCGAAAGCUUGUUUUCCCUCUGACCAUUGUUCUUACCUGAAGGCUUCAUUUUGAAAACACAAGCCCGAAAGUCAGAAGAUGCCUUGGCACCUUUUUUUUUUCCCACGAGAAUCUUUCGCACUGUGGUUAGUGGAGGAAGCUGACUUUAGCAAUCUAGGUGACGUGGUGGUUAUCAAGAGAGAACAGUGGCCGUUGAGAUCAUGUAUGUGUCUAAAUAUGUCAGGUGCAAGAGCUGUCUUGUCCUACUGAGGCUACAGGAAAUGUCUUCACCCAGAAAUGCAGGUCGCAGAUAGGUCAGACAGAUAGCACAGUACCAGGGGUCAAACCAGCCACAGCGUGGUUUCUCUGGACAUGUGGCCCCUCUAGGCCCAGGGGAACAGAAAUGCCUAUCUCUAGAGCAUGCCUGAGUGUUCACAUGGGCACCCAUAGGGAGAAAACAAAAUUUCUGCAGAGUCAAAGGUCAUCUUUAAUUUUAAUCUCUGGUCCACUCACUGCCUCUAGGAUAUAUCUUGGACAUUCUAUAUGGUCUUUUGUUUCUCUAUGUUUUCCAUUCAUUCCCUCAUUCAAUAAUUAUUUUUGAGUGCCUCCCUUAUGCCAUCGUCUCUUCCCCCUUCCCUGUGUAGCUGGAUUCUACCCUGAAUCCUUUAAGAUUCAACUGUUAGCCAGUUGAAUCCUUCGGGAUGCCUUUGUUGUCUACCUCAGCCCAUAGAAUUUUCCCUUUGCUCUUUCUGCUGCCUGUAGCCCUCAUCUGCUUUAGACACGUAAGACUCUCAUGGAUAGGUUUCGCCUUACCAACUGGAUAAACAAACUGAACAUUUGUUUAGCCAUUUGAAGCCAACCAAGUUCAUGUGUAUUUUCAUGUUUCAUUCUCACAACAUUAGGUAGGCAUUAUUAUCAUUCUCAUUGCAAAAUCAAGAAAGCUCAGAUUAAGAAACUUGCCUGUCACAUGGCUGGAGGUGACUGUGCAAGACUCAAAACUCAGGUUUGUCCAUCUGACUUUGAAUCUUGUACUUUUUCUCUUUCACCAAACUAUACUUGUCUUAAACUUCCUUUUAUUCUCUGCUGAGUCUUACACAUUGUCAGUACUCAACCACAUUCUCAUUGAUUGAAUUGUUCUGAAGUUUUCUACUCUAGUUAUAGGAGGACAUAUUCACUUGGAAACCAUCACAGAAAUAUGGAAAUGUUGGAUUAUAUUGUGGUGAUUUUUAUUUUUAGUUUUAUCCUGAUUGCUUGGGCUGAGCCUCGCAGAAGAUGAGGAAGAAGAUGAAGUAAAUGCCAAUGUAUUAUAAAGCAGCUUAUUUGUACACAGUUGUCACAUCAUAACCUACCCUCCAGAACAGAAGUUGAUUUCUGGGGUGGAGGAGGAACGGAAGAGUGUUAUUGAGUUGGCCUAAACAGAACAGAGGCCUUGAGAUCUGAUAUUUAGUGAAAUUCCUUACUUUUCAUCUAAGUGCCUUAGCAUCGCUAUCAACUCAGUUCAAGUUUGCUGUUUAAAUUGGGACUCUGGCUCUGUUUGCUUGUUGGUUUUUCUAUUUUUCAUGUGGGCUCUGGCAGGUUGCUACUCUAGCUUGAGCUUAAGAAAUUAGUUCCGCUCUCUUGAUUCAAAAUUAUGUUACCAAAUUAGUAAGGGUCCUUCCUAUACUGGGUGCCAGACUGAUCUAUUUACAUAGGCGUCAUGUCAGCUGUGAAUAAAGACAGUUUCAUUUCUUCCCUUCCUACCUGUGUUUUCCUUUUCUUGUCUUGUUGCAGUAGCUGGGACAUCUGGUAUAACUGUGAAGAAGAAUGGUGACAGUGGACAUCUUUGCAUUGUUCCUGAUCUCAGGGGGAAAGCCACCCAUUUCUUACCAUUAAAUAUGAUGUUAGCUGUAGGUUUUGUGGAGGUGUUCUUUAUCAAGUUUAUGAAGUUCCCCUCUAUUCCUAGUUUGCUGAG
Molecule: long non-coding RNA, 10271 nt
Organism: Equus caballus (horse)
Lineage: Eukaryota; Metazoa; Chordata; Mammalia; Perissodactyla; Equidae
Source: Ensembl